GCGAAACAAACGCGCGAGGCGUGGUUAUUAAUGCUAGUUGAGGAACAACGCGAUAAGCUUCGCGUACAAUUAAUCAUGGUAGCCUCAAUUGCUGAUCUUCGCGUCACGAUCGAUGUGGAACGCGAUACGUUAUAUUAUAACUGUAUCUCUACGAUUUCAUGUCCGCCGUCAAUUUACCGUACAUCAAAAUACUCGGAAUUCUCGCUCAGCGUCGAAAUCGACGGCAGCGAUUUAAAUUUUAUUGCUGGCGGCCGAGAUUACAUGUAAAUUAAUACGCACUGAUUCGCUGUCGCCGUAAACGGUCUCAAGGAUAAAUUCCUUGAUAAAAAUGAAAUCGAUUUCUUUUUGCAGACACUUUAUGAAAUCCUUUGUCAACCGCUGUCACCAUUCACAAAGUGGCGUGUAUGCGUAUGCGCGGGUAACAAAAUUAUCGCAUCAUCCGUGUCGCUCAGCGAAGGGGCCAAGAGAGUUCGAGAGAGAUCACACGGUGACGAUUAAGAACCUGAGAAAACGGGAGAGCAUGUAAUAAGUGCUUCUAAUACUUUGCCGACACACACCACACACACACACACACACACACACGAAUGCGACCGGUUCGUUUAUCGAUUACUGGGGGAGUGCUCGAAAUGGCCUCUUAAAACGCAUGCAGCUUGAAACGGCAGACAGGCGGUACUCGGCAUACAGAUGACGACGACGACGACGACGACGACAGCGACGACGACGGCGGCGACGACGACGAUGACGACGGUGACGAUUUGUGCACACACGCAUAGGAAUGGCGCGCCUGGCGAUAUCAACCCGACGAUAAUGUCAGGAUGAGCUUCCGUGUACGGAGCCCCUACUCGAGAGCCGUUGAAAUGAUGACGCGUUUGAUUUCCGGAAGCACGUACUUCAGCACGUGGAGGGAGAGCAACGGCUUAUCCCGAAUUAGGAGACCAUGCGAGGACCGGGGAAUCCUUCCUCCCACGGGAAAGCCGCUGGACGAAUGGCGAGAGGCGAGCGUGGGAAGAACACGAAGACACGUGGUGGGGCAAAUCGUCGGGACGCAUAGAAAAUAUGCCGCGUGGAAAACGCGUAGUUGGGGAAACUACGAAAGCUCUUGUCCCAGGAGCGCAGGAGAGAGAGAGAUUUUACUACUUCUAGGAAAUCGCAUUUCGCGCGCGCACGCCCGGAAUUCCUGAACAAUUUCAAUCUGGACCUGUUUUUGUGUUAGUUAGUGGAGCGAUGAAAUAUUACAUUCCUUCCUCCUCUGUAUUUAAUAUUCUUUAUACCGUUUUACUCGUAGAUAUAGUCGAGCUUUCUCGUAAUUGAAUUUUCAGAAAUUAUUGCGAAACGAAUAAAAUUUCCCUCUCUAUUAUGUUUAUUUUGCGAGAUCCAGAGAGUGAAGUGGAUCGCAGAUGCACUUCCACUUUGAACUUUAUGCCUCCCUACAAUCUUUUAUCCUCUCACUGUCGGAAAUUAACCUCGAUAGACUUAUUGUGCGAAUAUUGUACAAUAAUGGCAUUACGAAUUGACGUAAAUUUUGGAAUAAUUGCUCCAAGAUGAUGUAAUACCGCAGGAAUUUUAGAGAAAUAAAGUUUCUAAUAUUUGUCAAAAAUUAGACAAAUUUAGGUUUCA
Molecule: RNA transcript, 1617 nt
Organism: Solenopsis invicta (red fire ant)
Lineage: Eukaryota; Metazoa; Arthropoda; Insecta; Hymenoptera; Formicidae
Exons: 4
Source: RefSeq, a predicted model, not a curated record